AAGAGUAAAACCUAAUUAUAUUAUUCUAUUAUUCCCCGAGUGUGUAAAUUUGCAACGUAUCGAUGUCAACGUUCACAAAAACCAAAACCGGACAAACAUUAGACUACUCAGUUGCGCCCUAACAGUAUAACUUUACAACGAGUACUUUUUCUCCUUCAACCGAACAAAGAGUAAAACCUAAUUAUAUUGUUCCAUUAUGCCCCGAGAGUGUAAAUUUGCAACGUAUCGAUGUCAACGUUCACAAAAACCAAAACCGGACAAAUAUUAGACUACUCAGUUGUGCCCUAACAGUAUAACUUUACAUCGAGUACUUUUUCUCCUUCAACCGAACAAAGAGUAAAACCUAAUUAUAUUGUUCCAUUAUGCCCCGAGAUUGUAAAUUUGCAACGUAUCGACGUCAAUAUUCACAAGAACCAAAAUCGGAAAAAUAUUAGACUACUCAGUUGCUCCCUAACAGUGUAACUUUGCAAGAGUACUUUUUCUCAUUCAAUCAAAUAAAGAGUAAAACCAAAUUAUAUUAUUCUAUUAUGCCCCGAGUGUAUAAAUUUGCAACGUAUCGAUGUCAACGUUCACAAGAACCAAAACCGGAACAACAUUAGACUACUCAGUUACGCCCUAGCAGUAUAACUUUGCAAACAGUGCUUUUUCUCAUUCAAUCGAACAAAGAGAAAAACCCAAUUAUAUUGUUCUAUUAUUCCCCGAGAGUGUAAAUUUGCAACGUAUCAAUGUCAACGUUUACAAGAACCAAAUUCGAGAAAACAUUAGACAACUCAGUUGCUUCCUAACAGUAUAACUUUACAUUGAGUACCAUUUCUAAUUACAUCGUUCUAUUAUGCCGCGAGAGUGUAAAUUUGCAACGUAUCAAUUUCAACGUUCACAAAAACCAAAACCGGACCAACAUUAGACUACUAAGUUGCGCCCUAACAAUAUAACUUUGCAACGAGUACUUUUUCUCCUUCAACUGAACAAAGUGUAAAAUCUAAUUAUAUUGUUCUAUUAUGCCCCGAGAGGGUAAAUUUGCAACGUAUCGAUGUUAUCGUUCAGAAAAAUCAAAAUUGGACCAACAUUAGACUACUAAGUUGCGUCCUAACAGUAUAACUUUGCAACGAGUACUUUUUCUCCUUCUACCGAAGAAAGAGUAAAACCUAAUUAUGUUGUUCCACUAUGCCCCGAGAGUGUAAAUUUGCCACGUAUCGAUGUCAAUGUUCACAAGAACCAAAACCGGAAAAACAUUAGACUACUCAAUUGCUCCAUAACUGUAUAACUUUGCAAUGAGUACUUUUUCUCAUUCAAUCAAACAAAGAUUAAAAUCUAAUUAUAUUAUUCUAUUAUGCCCCGAGUGUGUAAAUUUGCAACGUAUCGAUGUCAACGUUCAUAAAAACCAAAACCGGACAAACAUUAGACUACUCAGUUGCUCCCUAACAGUAUAACUUUGCAAUGAGUACUUUUUCUCAUUCAAUCAAACAAAGAGUAAAACCUAAUUAUAUUAUUCUAUUAUUCCCCGAGUGUGUAAAUUUGCAACGUAUCGAUGUCAACGUUCACAAAAACCAAAACCGGACAAACAUUAGACUACUCAGUUGCGCCCUAACAGUAUAACUUUACAACGAGUACUUUUUCUCCUUCAACCGAACAAAGAGUAAAACCUAAUUAUAUUGUUCCAUUAUGCCCCGAGAGUGUAAAUUUGCAACGUAUCGAUGUCAAUGUUCACAAGAACCAAAAUCGGAAAAAUAUUAGACUACUCAGU
RNAcentral lists this long non-coding RNA (1744 nucleotides) under Ananas comosus (pineapple). RNAcentral's name for it is "long non-coding RNA (ACOM_LNC040023)". Lineage: Eukaryota; Viridiplantae; Streptophyta; Magnoliopsida; Poales; Bromeliaceae. The record is from RNAcentral.